This is a long non-coding RNA of Formica exsecta, 1396 nucleotides long. RefSeq lists it as uncharacterized. The record is from RefSeq and is a predicted model, not a curated record. Lineage: Eukaryota; Metazoa; Arthropoda; Insecta; Hymenoptera; Formicidae. The transcript has 2 exons.
AGAAACGAGAGAGAAAGAGGUAGAAAGAGAAUGCCGAAGAGAACGUCAUAAUACAGAAGAGGAGAGAACAGUCCUGCUCGAAGGCGUGGGCGAGGGCGAGGACGAGAGGGAUCGGCUUCAUGCACGCGUAAUGUCGCGUGAAUCAAGUUCGCAAUAACCCGCGUCUCGUAGCGGAUUACGACGCUUUGAUGAUGCUAUCAUCUGCUCUGUGUCAAAAAAUGCAGUAAGUCGCAGUUUCUCAGAAGUACAACGAACUAUUGGAACGAACGACUCGUCUAGAGUAUUUUUUCAUCGAUUUUAUGGGACUUUCGAGGUCAAUGAUAUAUCACUUGUACAUCUUAUUGUUAAUGAUCUCGAUGACAAAGAGAGGAUGAUAUUAUUUUUCAUGCGAAAAUACAUAUCUAGCGAAAAUCGCAAUCUCGCACACAAGAGACGAGAAAGAACACAAAACAGCCAGAUAGCUUGCGUCGCAUUGUGACCAGUCAAUAUUAGAAGCCACUAACAUACUCACGUUCAUGACGAAGGGCCAGCUGAUAGGCAUACUGACACUCGUACGCCCGCGUAAAAAAUAGUAGACUUAGGACAUUGCGAUCUGUUUUUAACGGCGCGAUUCAAUGAAUAACAACGUAUUCCCGCGUUAUUGGCCGAUCGCGAUUAUGGAAUAUUAUGCGACGAAACACUUUUGGAAAUGUAUAUUCUGAAUCACUGGAAUCGAGCAAAACCCCUCCCUAAUCGCAACAGCCCUCGUGCAACUGCGAGCGCGCAUGUCCUUCGAGAACAGACCGCACCACGAGUUGUUAACGAGAAAAGGGGAUGUUCUCUCUUUUCACCCAAAGUUCCUUCUAAGAACGCGAAAACGAUUGUCGAUCGAGAAUUAAAAAAUUGGAUUUACUUCCGACAUUUAAUGCUUUCUUAUGUCCGAUAAUACUGAUGUAACGAGAAUGUUGAAUUAUUUUUUUCGGAUGUUACACUACGAUCAAAGAAAAGUAUCAAGUAUCAAAUAUUUCAUGAAACAUUGUGUGGAAGUAUAAUAUCUACCACAAAACGACUCUGUACGACUAUAUAUAACACUUUAUCGAGAUCUUUCAUUCCGACAUUGUUAUCAAAAAAUACGCUAAUAAUUUAUUAUCGGUCUAUUAAAUUAUAUUGGAUGGAUAAAAAAAAGUAUACUUCAAAAAAAUUGUAUUUAAACGAAAAAUAUUUUAUUAAUAAAAGCUCUCUCACAUAAAUUGAAAUAUUCAAUUUCGUAAUAAUAGUAGAUGAUAUUGAUGGCUUAGUUUGACCAAAUAACACUCGUUUGCUAUUUUCCAAAAUUAGAACAAUAUUGGAGUUACUUAGAAUUGUCAUUUGCUCUACUUAUAAAAAUAUUUAUAAAAAUUAUAUUUUAAACAUUGAA